This 295-nucleotide long non-coding RNA is filed under the name Ananas comosus (pineapple). RNAcentral's name for it is "long non-coding RNA (ACOM_LNC034631)". Lineage: Eukaryota; Viridiplantae; Streptophyta; Magnoliopsida; Poales; Bromeliaceae. The record is from RNAcentral.
CCUCAGACGGCGGCGAGGAGCGGCGGCGGCGGCGGCGGAGCAAGCCGAGCCCGUACCAACUAGAGCUCGGGUUCCAGGAGUUGCUGCGGCCACGGCGGCGGCCGGGGAGCUCCGGGACGGCGGAGGCGGGCUGCAGGAGGUCGGGGGAGUUACCACGGGGUGGCCCAAGGUGGCGGCGGCGCUGGGAAGAGGCCGCACACGGCAUUCAGCUCGGGCUCGGGUUGGGCGGCUGCAGCCGGCCGAGGCGGCGGCGGCGGCGCGCUGGGGCGGCGGCGACCGGCGGGAAAGGGUGCCG